RNAcentral lists this ribosomal RNA (495 nucleotides) under uncultured bacterium. Its description in RNAcentral is "partial 16S ribosomal RNA". It matches the Rfam family "Bacterial small subunit ribosomal RNA", at positions 28 to 507 of the family's 1533-position model. The record is from RNAcentral.
GAUGAACGCUGGCGGCGUGCCUAAUACAUGCAAGUAGAACGCUGAAGGAGGAGCUUGCUCUUCUGGAUGAGUUGCGAACGGGUGAGUAACGCGUAGGUAACCUGCCUGGUAGCGGGGGAUAACUAUUGGAAACGAUAGCUAAUACCGCAUGACAACAGUUAUUGCAUGAUAACUGUUUAAAAGGGGCAACUGCUCCACUACCAGAUGGACCUGCGUUGUAUUAGCUAGUUGGUGAGGUAACGGCUCACCAAGGCGACGAUACAUAGCCGACCUGAGAGGGUGAUCGGCCACACUGGGACUGAGACACGGCCCAGACUCCUACGGGAGGCAGCAGUAGGGAAUCUUCAGCAAUGGACGGAAGUCUGACCGAGCAACGCCGCGUGAGUGAAGAAGGUUUUCGGAUCGUAAAGCUCUGUUGUAAGAGAAGAACGAGUGUGAGAGUGGAAAGUUCACACUGUGACGGUAUCUUACCAGAAAGGGACGGCUAACUACGUG